RNAcentral lists this ribosomal RNA (121 nucleotides) under uncultured bacterium. RNAcentral describes it as "partial 16S ribosomal RNA". The record is from RNAcentral.
UACGGUGAAUACGUUCCCGGACCUUGCACACACCGCCCGUCAACGCCACUGGAAGCCGGGUCGUACCUAAACGUCGGUAACCCGUAAGGUAGCCGCCUAGGUAAACUGGUGACUGGGCCGU